UUUAUUGGAGAGUUUGAUCCUGGCUCAGGAUGAACGCUGGCGGCGUGCCUAAUACAUGCAAGUCGAGCGAAUGGAUUAAGAGCUUGCUCUUAUGAAGUUAGCGGCGGACGGGUGAGUAACACGUGGGUAACCUGCCCAUAAGACUGGGAUAACUCCGGGAAACCGGGGCUAAUACCGGAUAACAUUUUGAACCGCAUGGUUCGAAAUUGAAAGGCGGCUUCGGCUGUCACUUAUGGAUGGACCCGCGUCGCAUUAGCUAGUUGGUGAGGUAACGGCUCACCAAGGCAACGAUGCGUAGCCGACCUGAGAGGGUGAUCGGCCACACUGGGACUGAGACACGGCCCAGACUCCUACGGGAGGCAGCAGUAGGGAAUCUUCC
This 379-nucleotide ribosomal RNA is filed under the name Bacillus cereus. Its description in RNAcentral is "bacterial SSU rRNA". It matches the Rfam family "Bacterial small subunit ribosomal RNA", at positions 1 to 367 of the family's 1533-position model. RNAcentral also lists the same sequence under 1 other name. Lineage: Bacteria; Bacillati; Bacillota; Bacilli; Caryophanales; Bacillaceae. The record is from RNAcentral.